UUCUCUCUCAAUUUGGGAUUCUCAAAGCCAAUGAGACACUUUGAGCCCUCCCUCCAGCAUAAUUCCUCACAAAAUUCACCAAGAAAACUUGUCCUUUCAAUUAGAACUCAAAGCAGCCCCCCCUCUCUUGUGGUUGUUUAUAUCGUGUACAAGUUGAGGAACUUGAGACACAGGUUGGUCUACGGUUUGAACUCUUGAAGUCGUGUUGGGUUGUUGUAUGCUAAAGACUGAGGAAAUGUCCAAGAAGAUGCUUGAAGUUGGCAAUUGGAGAUAAAGUUCUUGGGAGCUUUAAGGAAGAUCACAUUUGCAUAUAGGCAUCUAUAUUUUGUAGUAGUUUUGGGACAUGUAUAUGAUUCAUGGGGUGCUUGUGUAUAUGUAUUUAUUUGUGAGAGUUGAUCCAUUCAUGACAUCGUGGGUUGUAACUUAAAGUUGGUUGCUUGUUUUGUUAUUCGGGGACAUGUAAAUUCCAAGUUUUAUGAUGCACUAAAUUUACCGUUGAAGUUGAAA
Molecule: long non-coding RNA, 507 nt
Organism: Solanum dulcamara
Lineage: Eukaryota; Viridiplantae; Streptophyta; Magnoliopsida; Solanales; Solanaceae
Exons: 3
Source: RefSeq, a predicted model, not a curated record